Molecule: long non-coding RNA, 309 nt
Filed under: Mytilus galloprovincialis (Mediterranean mussel)
Lineage: Eukaryota; Metazoa; Mollusca; Bivalvia; Mytilida; Mytilidae
Source: RNAcentral
AUAAAGUGUUAACAACAAUAAUGUUCAGCAAAGUAAGAUUUACAAAUAAGUCAACAUGACCGAAAUGGUCAAUUGACCCCCUUAGGAGUUAUUGUUCUUUAUAGUCAAUUUUUAACAAUUUUCAUAAAAUUUGUAAAUUUUUACUAACAUUUUCCACUGAAACUAAUGGGCCAAGUUCAUUAUAGAUAGAGAUAAUUUUAAGCAGCAAGAAUGUUCAGUAAAGUAAGAUGUACAAACACAUCACCAUCACCAAAACACAAUUUUGUCAUGAAUCCAUCUGCUUCCUUUAAUAUUCACAUAGACCAAGGA